Molecule: long non-coding RNA, 456 nt
Filed under: Zonotrichia albicollis (white-throated sparrow)
Lineage: Eukaryota; Metazoa; Chordata; Aves; Passeriformes; Passerellidae
Description: lncRNA (ENSZALG00000005696.1)
Source: RNAcentral
CACUGGGGUACCACAGGAGUCAUCAACAAGCUGCCAAGGUGGCUGCCAACCCAGAGCCAGGAGCAUGGCUUGGGCAGGUGGAGAGAGUGGCAGAGCUGUGCACACAGAAAUCCUGUCUGAAAUGAAUCCCUGAUAAAGAGGAAGCCAAGUUGAAAGAGCUGGAAGAUUUCAGGUUGAGGCAGGAAAUUUGUGCGAGUUGUUAUUACUGCAAUCAGAUGAAGUGAGAAUUGGAUCGGCCGAGGCUGCCAGAGCACAGCUCUCCCAGCAGGACACCCAGGCUCUGCCCAAUCAGGGAAAGCUGCUAGCUCGAUCUGCAGGUCCCACCAGCAAUUUUGGACUUGCCUUUGGUGUCCCACCUCUCCCUCCCAUCCCACCUCCCAGCCCCACCAGCUGCCAGCAGAGAGCAGGGAAACGCAUCGGGACAGGAGGGCGAGGAAUCAGAAAGGACUUGGCGAG